GAUGAAGAACGCAGUGAAAUGCGAUAAGUAAUGUGAAUUGCAGAAUUCAGUGAAUCAUCGAAUCUUUGAACGCACAUUGCGCCUUCUGGUAUUCCGGUAGGCAUGCCUGUCUGAGCGUCAGCAAAACACCCCUCAGCCUGAGUAUUUUUGUACUUAACGCUGGUUUUGGGCAGUGGGAUGCCGGUGGGAGUUUAAUUCUUUUCCUGCCUGCGCCCUCCCUAAACUUGCUGUACGACCGAAAGCACCUUCUAGCCAGGUCAAUGGAGUGGUGUUACAAUCUUCCAGAAAAGCCUGCUGGACAACUGCUUCACGGCGUUAAACCAAAGAGCCUCCCUCCCUCCGUGGAGGCUUGAAGUUUUGACCUCAGAUCAGACAAGGAUACCCGCUGAACUUAAGCAUAUCAAUAAGCGGAGGA
RNAcentral lists this unclassified non-coding RNA (415 nucleotides) under soil metagenome. RNAcentral's name for it is "partial contains 5.8S ribosomal RNA, internal transcribed spacer 2, and large subunit ribosomal RNA". The stretch from base 1 to 120 matches the Rfam family "5.8S ribosomal RNA", at positions 35 to 154 of the family's 154-position model. The record is from RNAcentral.